Non-coding RNA from Heterocephalus glaber (naked mole-rat), 1143 nucleotides. NCBI's taxonomy places the organism in Eukaryota, Metazoa, Chordata, Mammalia, Rodentia, Bathyergidae. The record is from the annotation of a RefSeq genome assembly.
GCUGUAGUGCCUUUGAAUGCUCACCUCGGGAGGCUCCAUGCUGAACUAGGAGAUACCUCGGGUUCCUAAUGCUGCCAUGGGCUUCUGGUUCUUCUGUUGUGUGGCCCUUUGUCUCCUGAGAGCAGGGCCUGUGGAUUCCAGAGUCAUGCAAACCCCCAAAUACCUGAUCCAAGUUAAAGGACAACAAGCAACACUGAAAUGCUCCCCCGUUUCUGGACACCUCUCCGUGUACUGGUACCAACAGAAUCUGGACCAGGGCUUCCGGUUCCUCAUUCAGUAUUACAGUGGUGAAGAAAGAGACAAAGGAAACAUCCCUGACCGAUUCUCUGUGCGGCAGUUCCCUGACUCCAGCUCUGAACUCACCCUGAGGGUUUUGGAACUGGGGGACUCGGCACUCUUUCUCUGUGCCAGCAGCUUGGCACAGCGCUGCAUGGUCCCCAGCCUUCUGUACAAAAACAUUUCUCUUUAUUCCAGGAAGUGACCAGGAAGGCAGAGCUGCCAGCCAGCCUGGCUCAGGCCCUGGGAAGUUCACAGGCCUUUCCCAGACACUUGCUGCUGCUGGCAUCUGUGAUCUGUUUAACCAUCUCAGAACUGGUGCCAGUUCAGCAUCAUUUUACCUGUCUGUCUGUCUGCAGGAAAACUGUACCAGGCCUCAUAUUCCAUAGCUGUCUGAUACCUAUUCCUCCAACACCUGUCACUCUUUCACUGUUCACCUAGUAGAUUUGUCCUCUCCUCUGAUUUCCCCUCCUCAGAUCCCAGUGAGUAGGAAGGGAAUGUUAUGUAUCACACAUGAUUAUAAUGAGUGGUUUCCUGACAAGGCUAAGAAACACACUACUUCAAGGCCAAGUAUAUUCUCAUUGGGAUGAGAAAGAAAGGCACAAUUACUGCACCGUAGUCCUCUUGCUGCGAUAUAGAGAAAGCCAUGUGAUCUCUCUUGUGGCAGCCUAUGGGUAGUGUGGUCUCCAGCUGCAGAACAAAAGGAUGGGGCAUUUGUUAGGGAAAAUGCAGUUGUCAUGUGCAGACAUGAUAAGCCAUAGGGGAAAGAAAUGUGACCUCAUCACUCGUUAAUUUCUUCUAUUCUUUUACUCAACAACCAUUUCUGGGCUCCCCACUUUGUACAAGGAUGUUCACAGAAGAUAGAAA